UCCGGUUUGGCACCGGCAGUCCUCCCAGAGUCCUCGGCUUUACCCGGUAGCAACUGGGAGCGGGGGUUGCGCUCGUUGCGGGACUUAACCCAACAUCUCACGACACGAGCUGACGACAGCCAUGCACCACCUGUGCACUGGUCCCGAAGGAAGCCCGUAUUUCUACGGCUUUCCAGUGCAUGUCAAGCCCAGGUAAGGUUCUUCGCGUUGCGUCGAAUUAAACCACAUGCUCCGCUGCUUGUGCGGGCCCCCGUCAAUUUCUUUGAGUUUUAGCCUUGCGGCCGUACUCCCCAGGCGGGGUGCUUAAUGCGUUAGCUGCGGCACAGAGGGCGUGGAAGCCCCCCACACCUAGCACCCACCGUUUACGGCGUGGACUAC
Molecule: unclassified non-coding RNA, 378 nt
Filed under: uncultured Actinomycetes bacterium
Lineage: Bacteria; Bacillati; Actinomycetota; Actinomycetes
Description: uncultured actinobacterium contains 16S-23S intergenic spacer region
Source: RNAcentral